Molecule: ribosomal RNA, 710 nt
Filed under: uncultured archaeon
Lineage: Archaea
Description: bacterial SSU rRNA
Rfam family: Archaeal small subunit ribosomal RNA
Source: RNAcentral
AUACGGGAGCGCAGCGCACAGCUCAGUAACACGUGGCUAAUCUGCCCUUGGGACCGGAACACCCCCGGGAAACUGGGGCUAAUUCUCGAUAGGUGAAGAACUCUGGAAUGAGUCUUUGCUUAAAAGACGUUUACGUUAUGCUCGUAGACGUCGCCCAAGGAUGAGGCCGCGACCGAUCAGGUUGUUGGUGAGGUAAUGGCUCACCAAGCCUUUUACCGGUGCGGGCCGUGAGAGCGGGAGCCCGGAGAUGGGCACUGAGACAAGGGCCCAGGCCCUACGGGGCGCAGCAGUCGCGAAAACUUUGCAAUACACGAAAGUGUGACAGGGCUAUCCCGAGUGCCAUCCGCUGAGGAAGGCUUUUACCCAGUCUAGAACGCUGGGGGAAUAAGGAGAGGGCAAGUCUGGUGUCAGCCGCCGCGGUAAUACCAGCUCUCCGAGUGGUGUGGAUGUUUAUUGGGCCUAAAGCAUCCGUAGCUGGCUGAGUUAGUCCCUUGUUAAAUCCACCGAAUUAAUCGUUGGAUUGCGGGGGAUACUGCUCGGCUAGGGGACGAGAGAGGCAGACGGUAUUUCCGGGGUAGGGGUGAAAUCCUAUAAUCCCGGGAAGACCACCAGUGGCGAAGGCUGUCUGCUAGAACGCGCCCGACGGUGAGGGAUGAAAGCUGGGGGAGCGAACCGGAUUAGAUACCCGGGUAGUCCCAGCUGUAAACGAU